Molecule: ribosomal RNA, 521 nt
Filed under: uncultured bacterium
Lineage: Bacteria
Description: partial 16S ribosomal RNA
Rfam family: Bacterial small subunit ribosomal RNA
Source: RNAcentral
UGGGGAAUAUUGCACAAUGGGCGCAAGCCUGAUGCAGCCAUGCCGCGUGUGUGAAGAAGGCCUUCGGGUUGUAAAGCACUUUCAGCGAGGAGGAAGGUGGUGAAGCUUAAUACGCUCAUCAAUUGACGUUACUCGCAGAAGAAGCACCGGCUAACUCCGUGCCAGCAGCCGCGGUAAUACGGGGGAGGUGCAAGCGUUAAUCGGAAUUACUGGGCGUAAAGCGCACGCAGGCGGUUUGUUAAGUCAGAUGUGAAAUCCCCGGGCUCAACCUGGGAACUGCAUUUGAAACUGGCAAGCUAGAGUCUCGUAGAGGGGGGUAGAAUUCCAGGUGUAGCGGUGAAAUGCGUAGAGAUCUGGAGGAAUACCGGUGGCGAAGGCGGCCCCCCUGGACGAAGACUGACGCUCAGGUGCGAAAAGCGUGGGGAGCAAACAGGAUUAGAUACCCUGGUAGUCCACGCUGUAAAACGAUGUCGAUUUUGGAGGUUGUGCCCUUGAGGCGUGGCCUCCGGAGCUAACGCGUU